This 246-nucleotide ribosomal RNA is filed under the name uncultured Actinomycetales bacterium. RNAcentral's name for it is "partial 16S ribosomal RNA". It matches the Rfam family "Bacterial small subunit ribosomal RNA", at positions 796 to 1041 of the family's 1533-position model. The record is from RNAcentral. Lineage: Bacteria; Bacillati; Actinomycetota; Actinomycetes; Actinomycetales.
CAUGCCGUAAACGAUGGGCGCUAGGUGUGGGAUUCCUUCCACGGGUUCCGCGCCGUAGCUAACGCAUUAAGCGCCCCGCCUGGGGAGUACGGCCGCAAGGCUAAAACUCAAAGAAAUUGACGGGGGCCCGCACAAGCGGCGGAGCAUGUGGAUUAAUUCGAUGCAACGCGAAGAACCUUACCUGGGCUUGACAUAUAGAGGAUCGCCACAGAGAUGUGGCUUCCCUUGUGGCUUCUAUACAGGUGG